GACGAACGCUGGCGGCGUGCUUAACACAUGCAAGUCGAACGGAAAGGCCCUGCUUUUGUGGGGUGCUCGAGUUGCGAACGGGUGAGUAACACGUGAGUAACCUGCCCUUGACUUUGGGAUAACUUCAGGAAACUGGGGCUAAUACCGGAUAGGAGCUCCUGCUGCAUGGUGGGGGUUGGAAAGUUUCGGCGGUUGGGGAUGGACUCGCGGCUUAUCAGCUUGUUGGUGGGGUAGUGGCUUACCAAGGCUUUGACGGGUAGCCGGCCUGCGAGGGUGACCGGCCACAUUGGGACUGGGAUACGGCCCAGACUCCUACGGGAGGCAGCAGUGGGGAAUAUUGCACAAUGGGCGGAAGCCUGAUGCAGCACAGCCGCGUGCGGGAUGACGGCAUUCGGGUUGUAAUCCGCUUUCGCCUGUGACGAAGCGUGAGUGACGGUAAUGGGUAAAGAAGCACCGGCUAACUACGUG
Molecule: ribosomal RNA, 468 nt
Filed under: uncultured bacterium
Lineage: Bacteria
Description: partial 16S ribosomal RNA
Rfam family: Bacterial small subunit ribosomal RNA
Source: RNAcentral